GGGGACAACCCGCCGAAAGGCGGGCUAAACCCGCGUACAUGCCACCGGGGCAUCCCGGAGGCAGGAAAGGCUUCGGCCGGACAGGGAUGGGCAUGCGGCGCACUAGGCAGUAGGCGGGGUAACGGCCCACCUAACCGACGAUGCGUAGGGGUUCUGAGAGGAAGGUCCCCCACACUGGUACUGAGACACGGACCAGACUCCUACGGGAGGCAGCAGUGAGGAAUAUUGGUCAAUGGUCGGGAGACUGAACCAGCCAAGCCGCGUGAGGGAUGAAGGUACAGAGUAUCGUAAACCUCUUUUGUCAGGGAACAAAGGCGGGGACGUGUCCCCGGAUGAGUGUACCUGAAGAAAAAGCAUCGGCUAACUCCGUGCCAGCAGCCGCGGUAAUACGGAGGAUGCGAGCGUUAUCCGGAUUUAUUGGGUUUAAAGGGUGCGCAGGCGGUCUGUUAAGUCAGCGGUCAAAGCCCGGGGCUCAACCCCGGCCCGCCGUUGAAACUGGCAGUCUCGAGUUGGAGAGAAGUAUGCGGAAUGCGCGGUGUAGCGGUGAAAUGCAUAGAUAUCGCGCAGAACUCCGAUUGCGAAGGCAGCAUGCCGGCUCCACACUGACGCUGAGGCACGAAAGCGUGGGUAUCGAACAGGAUUAGAUACCCUGGUAGUCCACGCAGUAAACGAUGAA
Molecule: ribosomal RNA, 676 nt
Filed under: uncultured bacterium
Lineage: Bacteria
Description: bacterial SSU rRNA
Rfam family: Bacterial small subunit ribosomal RNA
Source: RNAcentral